Long non-coding RNA from Odocoileus virginianus texanus, 337 nucleotides. RefSeq lists it as uncharacterized. Lineage: Eukaryota; Metazoa; Chordata; Mammalia; Artiodactyla; Cervidae. The record is from RefSeq and is a predicted model, not a curated record.
GGCAGUCAGGUCUGUAGAGUCAAAGGUAAUGAAAUGUAUCAAGUCCUUUGGAAGCAAGAGCACAAAGUAAAACCUGAUACAAACAGAAGGGAAAGACUUAGCUGCUGUCGUGAUGCUGGUGAGGAAGCACAUGUGCUGGGCGUGUCACCAAGCUCUUCACCUGCUAGAAGAUGAAAGACACUGAAGCAGCCAAAUUGAACCCACAAGUGGAAGUCAUGUGUUGAAGACAGCAGCAGGGCCGGCUACAGUUUGUGGGGCCCAAUGAAAAAUGAAACUUCAGGUCUUCUUGUUCAAAAAAACAAAAGGCGGGGGGAUUGCCAUUAAAUGUAGUAAAAUU